GUGGGGAAUAUUGCACAAUGGGGGAAACCCUGAUGCAGCGACGCCGCGUGAGCGAUGAAGUAUUUCGGUAUGUAAAGCUCUAUCAGCAGGGAAGAAAAUGACGGUACCUGACUAAGAAGCCCCGGCUAACUACGUGCCAGCAGCCGCGGUAAUACGUAGGGGGCAAGCGUUAUCCGGAUUUACUGGGUGUAAAGGGAGCGUAGACGGCUGUGCAAGCCAGAUGUGAAAGCCCGGGGCUCAACCUCGGGACUGCAUUUGGAACUGUGUAGCUGGAGUGUCGGAGAGGCAGGCGGAAUUCCUAGUGUAGCGGUGAAAUGCGUAGAUAUUAGGAGGAACACCAGUGGCGAAGGCGGCCUGCUGGACGAUGACUGACGUUGAGGCUCGAAAGCGUGGGGAGCAAACAGG
This 405-nucleotide ribosomal RNA is filed under the name uncultured bacterium. Its description in RNAcentral is "bacterial SSU rRNA". It matches the Rfam family "Bacterial small subunit ribosomal RNA", at positions 354 to 776 of the family's 1533-position model. The record is from RNAcentral.